Molecule: ribosomal RNA, 279 nt
Filed under: uncultured bacterium
Lineage: Bacteria
Description: partial 16S ribosomal RNA
Rfam family: Bacterial small subunit ribosomal RNA
Source: RNAcentral
UGCCAGCCGCCGCGGUAACACGGGGGGCGCAAGCGUUAUUCGGAAUUAUUGGGCGUAAAGGGCGCGCAGGCGGCCCAUCAAGUUAGACGUGAAAGCCCCGGGCUCAACCUGGGAAUUGCGUUUAAUACUGGUGAGCUAGAGUACGAGAGAGGAAAGUGGAAUUCCUAGUGUAGAGGUGAAAUUCGUGGAUAUUAGGAAGAACACCAGUGGCGAAGGCGACUUUCUGGCUCGUAACUGACGCUGAGGCACGAAAGCGUGGGGAGCAAACAGGAUUAGAUA